UACGAAGGGGGCUAGCGUUGUUCGGAAUUACUGGGCGUAAAGGGCGCGUAGGCGGUGUGUCAAGUCAGGCGUGAAAGCCCCGGGCUCAACCUGGGAACAGCGCUUGAGACUGGCACGCUCGAGUUCGGGAGAGGAUGGUGGAAUUCCCAGUGUAGAGGUGAAAUUCGUAGAUAUCAGGAGGAACACCGGUGGCGAAGGCGACCACCUGGACAGACACUGACGCUGAGGCGCGAAAGCGUGGGGAGCAAACAGG
This 253-nucleotide ribosomal RNA is filed under the name uncultured bacterium. Its description in RNAcentral is "partial 16S ribosomal RNA". It matches the Rfam family "Bacterial small subunit ribosomal RNA", at positions 524 to 776 of the family's 1533-position model. The record is from RNAcentral.